Molecule: ribosomal RNA, 496 nt
Filed under: uncultured bacterium
Lineage: Bacteria
Description: partial 16S ribosomal RNA
Rfam family: Bacterial small subunit ribosomal RNA
Source: RNAcentral
GAUGAACGCUGGCGGCGUGCCUAAUACAUGCAAGUCGAGCGAACAGACGAGGAGCUUGCUCCUCUGACGUUAGCGGCGGACGGGUGAGUAACACGUGGAUAACCUACCUAUAAGACUGGGAUAACUUCGGGAAACCGGAGCUAAUACCGGAUAAUAUAUUGAACCGCAUGGUUCAAUAGUGAAAGACGGUUUUGCUGUCACUUAUAGAUGGAUCCGCGCCGCAUUAGCUAGUUGGUAAGGUAACGGCUUACCAAGGCAACGAUGCGUAGCCGACCUGAGAGGGUGAUCGGCCACACUGGAACUGAGACACGGUCCAGACUCCUACGGGAGGCAGCAGUAGGGAAUCUUCCGCAAUGGGCGAAAGCUUGACGGAGCAACGCCGCGUGAGUGAUGAAGGUCUUCGGAUCGUAAAACUCUGUUAUUAGGGAAGAACAAAUGUGUAAGUAACGAUGCACGUCUUGACGGUACCUAAUCAGAAAGCCACGGCGAACUACGU